This 432-nucleotide ribosomal RNA is filed under the name uncultured bacterium. RNAcentral's name for it is "partial 16S ribosomal RNA". It matches the Rfam family "Bacterial small subunit ribosomal RNA", at positions 29 to 506 of the family's 1533-position model. The record is from RNAcentral.
AACGAACGCUGGCGGCAGGCCUAACACAUGCAAGUCGAGCGGACCCUUCGGGGUUAGCGGCGGACGGGUGAGUCACGCGUGGGAAUAUGCCCUUCUCUACGGAAUAGUCCUGGGAAACUGGGGGUAAUACCGUAUACGCCCUUUGGGGGAAAGAUUGAUCGGGGAAGGAUUAGCCCGCGUUGGAUUAGGUAGGUGGUGGGGUAAUGGCCUACCAAGCCGACGAUCCAUAGCUGGGUUGAGAGGAUGCUCAGCCACACUGGGACUGAGACACGGCCCAGACUCCUACGGGAGGCAGCAGUGGGGAAUCUUAGACAACGGGGGCAACCCUGAUGUAGUCAUGCCGCGUGAGUGAUUAAGGCGGUAGGAUAGUAAAGCUCUUUCAGCUGGGAAGAUAAGGACGGUACCAGCAGAAGAAGCCCCGGCUACCUCCGU